Molecule: ribosomal RNA, 548 nt
Filed under: uncultured Glomus
Lineage: Eukaryota; Fungi; Glomeromycota; Glomeromycetes; Glomerales; Glomeraceae
Description: SSU rRNA
Rfam family: Eukaryotic small subunit ribosomal RNA
Source: RNAcentral
UUGGAGGGCAAGUCUGGUGCCAGCAGCCGCGGUAAUUCCAGCUCCAAUAGCGUAUAUUAAAGUUGUUGCAGUUAAAAAGCUCGUAGUUGAAUUUCGGGGUUAGUAGGUUGGUCAUGCCUCAGGUAUGUACUGAUCUUACUGAUUCCUCCUUCCUGAUGAACCGUAAUGCCAUUAAUUUGGUGUUGCGGGGAAACUGGACUGUUACUUUGAAAAAAUUAGAGUGUUUAAAGCAGGCUAACGCUUGAACACAUUAGCAUGGAAUAAUGAAAUAGGACGUUCGAUCCUAUUUUGUUGGUUUCUAGGAUUGACGUAAUGAUUAAUAGGGAUAGUUGGGGGCAUUAGUAUUCAAUUGUCAGAGGUGAAAUUCUUGGAUUUAUUGAAGACUAACUACUGCGAAAGCAUUUGCCAAGGAUGUUUUCAUUAAUCAAGGACGAAAGUUAGGGGAUCGAAGACGAUCAGAUACCGUCGUAGUCUUAACCAUAAACUAUGCCGACUAGGGAUCGGAUGAUGUUAAUUUUUUAAUGACUCAUUCGGCGCCUUACGGGAAA